UUUAUUUCUGGUUCUUGCUUCCCAGGAGUUACGAGUCGAGCUCGACAAAUUGUUGAGACAAAAAAUAGCUCAGCCGGACAUGAAGCUAAGCGUGGGGACUGGUACGGAUAACAAGGAAAGUGCUCUACUGCGAGCCAUUAUUGACCUGAUCACCAGUGAAGAGAAUACAAACUGGAAAAGACAAAGAGCUCUCGCCAGUAAACCCGAAGAGAGUUACUAUUAAACUGCUUUGUGUCGUGAGACAAAAGAAGCACCAGAGGGCUACCAGAGGGAGUUUAUUCACUGCAUAGCUGCUUGCUUCCUCUCUGAAGCAGACACUAAGAUACGGUCUGUCGGACUUCAACCCUGAACUUGCGCUCAGACUAAGGCGGACACCUCUCUUGUGUGCCUUACACUGUCCAAGCUAGUACCAAAUAUAUAGCUUCACAAAGACUUUGGUUUGGUCCGUGCAGUAGUUUAACUGGAACAAUCCAGAGAGGAUGAUCUGCAAAGCUCUUGGCUCUCGCAAUUUGUUUUGUAAAUAAACAAGACGAACAGACGAUAACUGAUACUGGAGAGUCAACUUGAAUAUUGAUUUUCGAGAAAAAAGAUGUUUGUGAAAAGCCAAAGACUUAUAAGAAAAGUUUUAAACUAACAGGAAAUGUAAUAUUUGUUUGUAACAUUACGGAAAUAGUAAACACACUCGUGGAAAAGAUGAUACUGUUAGCGUCACCCCUGGUCAGUUCGAGUUCAUCAUUUAAUUAAGGGGGGAGUUUCACGGUUUGGCGCAUACCCACGCUUUCGCGUGAGAAUAAAGUAACUUCGCUUUUUUUUUUUUUUACUGAACCACAUGUACUUUAGCAGUCACAGUCAAAGCAGUCACGGGAUUGAGUACUUACAAAAGGAAUGCUAAUGAGAACUCUCACAUCUACCGCAGCGUUUUGGCGACUGACCUCGAAACUGUCAAAGAAAAAGCUCCCGCAAAAAUUGGUUGUUUAUUAAACAAUGAAAUCGUA
Molecule: long non-coding RNA, 995 nt
Organism: Orbicella faveolata
Lineage: Eukaryota; Metazoa; Cnidaria; Anthozoa; Scleractinia; Merulinidae
Source: RefSeq, a predicted model, not a curated record